AUUUUUUUUAACUUUAAAGUUCCUGUAUUCCCAUUUUUAAGAGUAAACUAAAGAUUUUCCAGGCUUAGGAGUAUCUUUUUUCAGAACCGUGAUAAGAAAGUCAGAUUGAGGUAAUAAACCAGAGAGUUUGAUGAUAGGGAAAAAGAUAUCUGGUGAGGGGAGACAGAUUUAAAGGUGAAAACAAUUACUUUGAUGUAACAAAUUAACUUCUUAAAUAAAGUUUUGUGGUUUUGCUCCUGUGAUUUCGUAUUUGCUGCUAUAGUAGCUCACUAUUUUAUAGGGCUAAUAUAUAAAUCUGGCCCCAUUUAAAACUGAGGUCCUUUCUAAUCCAAACAGCCUAGAAAGAGACUGCAGCACAGUCUGCCAGCGGUGGCCAGUGUCCAUAUAGCUGAUGCAUGCUUUAAUGUUUGCCUGUAGCUGGCAGCACGGAGGUCAGGGAAGCUUCCUACCCUGCCAGACAGAGCAUUAUGAUUCUUGGGGGACUGGCAUCUGGGAGACAAGACAGGCCAAAGAGGGAACCGCUGAGGAGAGCGUGUGAAUGCAGUUGCAUGUUCCCAUGUUCUCCUAUAGCAGUCCUACUCUCCAGCUGCGCCAGUCCCCAUGUCACCAGCUCUGUACCAGUUGUCAUCUCAUUCAAGUGUGGCUUUACUUGGUGACAGUGGCCAUAGCUAAAUUACUUAGCAUGUUUGACUUUCUACAAUAACAAAAAUGGUCUUAAAUUUUUGUUUUGAUUUCCUAAAAAAAAUGUACACAGUGUCAUAACUUCACGUUUUAUAAACUAGUAUCUGGCUAUUAGUAUUUUACAGAAACCAUGGUUCUUGGUGACUACAUAUAUAUAUAUAUAUAUUUUUGUGACCUUUUUGUAAACUAAGUGCCGUUUCAACGUUACAAUCAUUUUUAGAGUUAUUGUAAUCAAUGUGAAUAUCAUGUUUUUUCAAAUCUGUUCUGAGCCUAGUGUUUGCUUUGUGAAAAAUAUGUGUAUUGUAUAUAUUCUGUAUAGUUAUACUGUAUUGAAAUAUUAGCUUGUUUGAUAUGAGAAAAAGUAUGUAUUGAGUACCUUUUUGCUAGCCUGAUUGCUUAAUCUUUUUUAAAAAGGUUUAAUUUUUUUUUUUUAAUCUUUAAACUGGCCUUUAUUAAUGGUCACAAAUAAAGUUGCAGUUAGAAGGGAUGGACAGGGAAAAUUUAGUCUUGAGUGUCUUUGGAUAGAAACAUGAGACUAAGAUUUGUUUCGGGUUUUUUGUUUGUUUUUGUUUUUGUUUUUUUUUUCUCAUUAAAAUACCUUACUGAUGUUUUAUGAAAU
This 1300-nucleotide long non-coding RNA is filed under the name Rattus norvegicus (Norway rat). RNAcentral describes it as "long non-coding RNA NONRATT027540". The record is from RNAcentral. Lineage: Eukaryota; Metazoa; Chordata; Mammalia; Rodentia; Muridae.